RNAcentral lists this long non-coding RNA (208 nucleotides) under Gossypium raimondii (Peruvian cotton). Its description in RNAcentral is "long non-coding RNA (GRAI_LNC002839)". The record is from RNAcentral. Lineage: Eukaryota; Viridiplantae; Streptophyta; Magnoliopsida; Malvales; Malvaceae.
GACCUUCUCGAAUCUAAAUACGAAGUUUUACUUAUUUAAACAAAUUUUUUGACAUAUCGAGUAAAAUGCAACACGAAGUUGUAGGAAAAAUGCAAAAAUAAAUUACAUCGUUAACAUGCAUAACAGAAUAAUAAACGCGUUAAUACGGAUAACAGUAGGAAAGAUGAAAAUUAAAUAAAAUAAAUAGAGCAACCAAGCUAAUAAAAAG